Symphalangus syndactylus (siamang) is the source of this 445-nucleotide long non-coding RNA. RefSeq lists it as uncharacterized. NCBI's taxonomy places the organism in Eukaryota, Metazoa, Chordata, Mammalia, Primates, Hylobatidae. The record is from RefSeq and is a predicted model, not a curated record.
AGGGCAGGGCUCAGGCUGAAGAGGCACAUAAAUAAAGUGCAUGGUCCACGUAUAUGUGAUAAUCUCAACUGUACACUGGGCCCAGGCAAGAAAGUAAAAUUACCCAGGUGCUAGACAAAGGUAUGAGAACGAUUUAUGUUCCUGUGAUCUGGGUAGAGAAAUGGACCAAUAUCCCUCCUGUGGCUCAAUGACACAUGACAGGUACAAUUCCAACAGAAGACGGUAUCUGUCAGUAAGGCUCAGGACCUGUCAGAAUCCUGCCCUUCCUUCUGUCUCCAGAUCUAAGUCCUCCAAGAAAUGCAGGUGCUUCAGUGACAAGAGAUAAUCGUCAUCUUCUAACUGAGGAGGAAUUUGGGGUUUGGUUCCAGUCCAUGGUGUGACACAGUCAGAAUAAAAGGUGAGGGUCUAGCAGAUUAACCGAGGGUAGGGGAAGACUCUGUUAUGU